CAUUACCGAAUUGUCAACACGAGCUGUUGCUGGCCUUCAAAUGGGGGCACGUGCACGCUCUGUUUUCAUCCACUCACACCUGUGCACCCUCUGUAGUUCUAUGGUCUGGGAGACUCUGUCUUCCUUCUGUGGUUCUGCGUCUUUACACACACACUGUAACCUGGUCUUAUGGAAUGUAAAGCAGCGUUUAACGCAAUAUAAUACAACUUUCAGCAACGGAUCUCUUGGCUCUCGCAUCGAUGAAGAACGCAGCGAAAUGCGAUAAGUAAUGUGAAUUGCAGAAUUCAGUGAAUCAUCGAAUCUUUGAACGCACCUUGCGCCCUUUGGCUAUUCCGAAGGGCAUGCCUGUUUGAGUAUCGUGAACACCUCAACUCUCACGGUUUGCCGUGAUGAGCUUGGACUUUGGAGGUUUUGCUGGCCCACGGUCUGCUCCUCUCAAAUGAAUUAGCUUACCAGUCUAUGGUGGCGCCACAGGUGUGAUAACUAUCUGCGCUCGUGGUCGUACGCCAGAUAACCUUCAGCGAUGGAGGUUUGCUGGGGCUCAUAAAUGUCUCUCCUCGGUGAAGACAGCUUCUUGACGUUUGAUCUCAAAUCAGGUAGGACUACCCGCUGAACUUAAGCAUAUCAAUAAGCGGAGGAAAAGAAACUAACAAGGAUUCCCCUAGUAACUGCGAGUGAAGCGGGAAGAGCUCAAAUUUAAAAUCUGGCGUGCCUCUGGUCGUCCGAGUUGUA
This 732-nucleotide ribosomal RNA is filed under the name uncultured fungus. Its description in RNAcentral is "eukaryotic LSU rRNA". The stretch from base 205 to 359 matches the Rfam family "5.8S ribosomal RNA". The record is from RNAcentral. Lineage: Eukaryota; Fungi.